This 497-nucleotide ribosomal RNA is filed under the name uncultured bacterium. RNAcentral describes it as "partial 16S ribosomal RNA". It matches the Rfam family "Bacterial small subunit ribosomal RNA", at positions 28 to 507 of the family's 1533-position model. The record is from RNAcentral.
GACGAACGCUGGCGGCGUGCCUAAUACAUGCAAGUUGAGCGCUGAAGGUUGGUACUUGUACCAACUGGAUGAGCAGCGAACGGGUGAGUAACGCGUGGGGAAUCUGCCUUUGAGCGGGGGACAACAUUUGGAAACGAAUGCUAAUACCGCAUAAAAACUUUAAACACAAGUUUUAAGUUUGAAAGAUGCAAUUGCAUCACUCAAAGAUGAUCCCGCGUUGUAUUAGCUAGUUGGUGAGGUAAAGGCUCACCAAGGCGAUGAUACAUAGCCGACCUGGGAAGGAGAUCGGCCACAUUGGGACUGGGACACGGCCCAAACUCCUACGGGAGGCAGCAGUAGGGAAACUUCGGAAAUGGAGGAAAGUCUGACCGAGCAACGCCGCGUGAGGGAAGAAGGUUUUCGGAUCGUAAAACUCUGUUGGUAGAGAAGAACGUUGGUGAGAGUGGAAAGCUCAUCAAGUGACGGUAACUACACAGAAAGGGACGGCUAACUACGUG